RNAcentral lists this ribosomal RNA (451 nucleotides) under uncultured bacterium. RNAcentral describes it as "bacterial SSU rRNA". It matches the Rfam family "Bacterial small subunit ribosomal RNA", at positions 340 to 786 of the family's 1533-position model. The record is from RNAcentral.
UACGGAAGGCAGCAGUGGGGAAUAUUGCACAAUGGGCGCAAGCCUGAUGCAGCCAUGCCGCGUGUAUGAAGAAGGCCUUCGGGUUGUAAAGUACUUUCAGUCGUGAGGAAGGUGUUAAGGUUAAUAACCUUAGCAAUUGACGUUAGCGACAGAAGAAGCACCGGCUAACUCCGUGCCAGCAGCCGCGGUAAUACGGAGGGUGCGAGCGUUAAUCGGAAUUACUGGGCGUAAAGGGCACGCAGGCGGUUAAUAAGUUGGAUGUGAAUCCCCGGGCUUAACCUGGGAAUGGCAUUCAAGACUGGUUAGCUAGAGUCUUGUAGAGGGGGUAGAAUUCCAUGUGUAGCGGUGAAAUGCGUAGAGAUGUGGAGGAAUACCGGUGGCGAAGGCGGCCCCUGGGACAAAGACUGACGCUCAUGUGCGAAAGCGUGGGGAGCAAACAGGAUUAGAUACC